CGGCGAUGCCAUAUACAUAACCUCGCAUAACCUAGAACUUCUAGGUUAUGUAUGGCGUCGCGUAGUGCACAGCAGGGCUGGACGGUAUUCUGACAGUAUCGAUCAAUAUACAUAUACAGUUAUGGGAUAAUUAUGAUGCUGGAGCAAGCCGGGGCUGGAGUUAUGAAUGAGCUUUGCAAGGUUUAUGUAACCGGGUCUUUGCAAUGUGAGAACCACAGAAAGAAGGCGCGGAAGAAUUCAGAUUGAUGCAGUCGCCGAAGAUCGCAAUGACACGAUCCAUUUGUAAAUAAAAUUUAAGUUUUAGGCUCAUUCUGCUGAUUGGAUACUAUUUACUUCCACGAAGGAUGUUGCUAUCAGCUUAUCAAUAAAGAUCCUGUUUAUAAAAGAAUUUGAAGAAAAAUGUGUGGUGGACCAGGACAAGGAUUCUGUUCAUAGGCUUCGUGGCAGGAAUUGUUCAAUGGGAAAUAUAAGAAUCUACAAUCACACUCCUAGAAAUUCUCACUGUUGCCUGUCGAGUAGAGAAUCAUAUCCUUUGGGCAACUAUCCAGGAUUGAUAUCCUUUAUUACCUGCGAGAACGAAUAAAUUUAUGUAUAUGCGAAAAAUAUAAAAUCGGCACAAAUACUUCACUACUGGACAAAAUCGAGCCGCUAAGAAAAUUGUACACAUAUUUAUAUAAACAUAAUGUAAAUGGAGAAAAUAGGAAUGGCUUUUUAAUAUACAACUUUGAUAAGAGUACAAAGAUCAAUUAAAAUCAGAUCGCAAAGAACAAAUAUUUAUAUUAUUAGUAACUGGUCAGAUAACGACAAGAUUGCGAAAAUGUCAAAGUUCUUAGCAACAUGCUGAUCCUUCCUAAUAAAAAAAGAAAAAAUAUAGAAAUAUCACACACGUGUUAAGCAAGCGAAAACUGGUGAACUUGAUGAAGAUGGAUCCAAGAUUCUCUUGAACGCGCAAUUACACUGACCCGACAUAACUAUGAUGUAAUCACGACGUAUUCUUAUAUCAUGAUUACAUCAUGGUUUCAAGGAAUAUUAUUUUCCUCGGGAGCGACACGAGUUCAUCAAGUAAAAUCGAGUCCGUGGCUUUUCGACUACACGGACAAUAGGUACUGACAUUUCGUUGACACGCAAUGUGAUCACGUUGCUUAGAUCUUGUUAGACCUUAUAUUGAGUUGUAUUCUCAGAAUAUUGCGGCAUUUACGAUAACAACAGCCAUGUUAUUUAACAAGGCGUUAUAUAAUGAUAAAAAACGCGAAAUGUGUUUGAUUGACAAAAAAGUGAAUUAAAAUGAAAAAAAAUAUACUAUUUCGCUAAUAUUAAUAAUCUUUUUAGGGUGUUCUUUGAUCUUUUCCGGCUGUUGCGAAUGAUCUAAAUCCAUUGUUAUCUUCGAGAGUUGAAGGAUAAUUAUAAUAUAGGGUGUCUGGAAACUCACUCGCACUACUUCUUGAAGAGAUUCGAGAUAUAUAGCUUUUUUCCUUCUUUUUGGGUCCCUUCAGUCACUUCAAGAAGUAGUGCGGGCGAGUUUCCGGACACCCAGUAUAAUCAAUUUUUUCAAGCUUUGCGGGCGAGUUUCCGGACACCCAGUAUAAUCAAUUUUUUCAAGCUUUGUCUAUAAAAAUGCACAUUAUUAGUUAUUAAUUUUUGCAAGCAAAAUUUGAUCGACAUUUAAAUGCAUAUAUUUUAUUAUAAAACUAAAAUAAAUUUGUUCGAUUGUAAUAAAAAGAUUUUUAAGAAAUUACAUUAUUCUACUUUAUAAUGAUGCGAACAGUUAAAUCCUUUAUUGUACAAGUUUUGUAUGUGAUUAUAAUAUACAAGUAGAAUAUACUGGCUAGUGAAAUAGAUUCCACAAAAAUUACAUUAAGGAUUUCAGUAAAUGACAAUAAAUACUAUGUAUGUGAAAAAAA
This is a long non-coding RNA of Wasmannia auropunctata (little fire ant), 1901 nucleotides long. RefSeq lists it as uncharacterized. The transcript has 5 exons. The record is from RefSeq and is a predicted model, not a curated record. NCBI's taxonomy places the organism in Eukaryota, Metazoa, Arthropoda, Insecta, Hymenoptera, Formicidae.